AGUGAACGCUGGCGGUAGGCCUAACACAUGCAAGUCGAACGGCAGCACAGUAAGAGCUUGCUCUUACGGGUGGCGAGUGGCGGACGGGUGAGGAAUACAUCGGAAUCUACUUUUUCGUGGGGGAUAACGUAGGGAAACUUACGCUAAUACCGCAUACGACCUACGGGUGAAAGCAGGGGAUCUUCGGACCUUGCGCGAUUGAAUGAGCCGAUGUCGGAUUAGCUAGUUGGCGGGGUAAAGGCCCACCAAGGCGACGAUCCGUAGCUGGUCUGAGAGGAUGAUCGGCCACACUGGAACUGAGACACGGUCCAGACUCCUACGGGAGGCAGCAGUGGGGAAUAUUGGACAAUGGACGAAAGCCUGAUCCAGCCAUACCGCGUGGGUGAAGAAGGCCUUCGGGUUGUAAAGCCCUUUUGUUGGGAAAGAAAAGCAGCAGGUUAAUACCCCGCUGUUCUGACGGUACCCAAAGAAUAAGCACCGGCUAACUUCGUG
This 492-nucleotide ribosomal RNA is filed under the name uncultured bacterium. Its description in RNAcentral is "partial 16S ribosomal RNA". It matches the Rfam family "Bacterial small subunit ribosomal RNA", at positions 29 to 507 of the family's 1533-position model. The record is from RNAcentral.